Non-coding RNA from Potamilus streckersoni, 77 nucleotides. Lineage: Eukaryota; Metazoa; Mollusca; Bivalvia; Unionida; Unionidae. The record is from the annotation of a GenBank genome assembly.
GACCGCUCCGGUGGCUUAGUGGUUACAACGUCUGCCUAGGAUGCGGGAGGUUGCGGGUUCGAACCACGUCUGAGUCA